GAUGAAGAACGCAUCGAAAUGCGAUAAGUAAUGUGAAUUGCAGAAUUCAGUGAAUCAUCGAAUCUUUGAACGCACAUUGCGCCCACUAGUAUUCUGGUGGGCAUGCCUGUUCGAGCGUCAUUUCAACCCUCAAGCCUUAGUUGCUUGGUGUUGGGAGCUUAUCUUGCCGAAAGGCGGACAACUCCUUAAAACUAUUGGCGGAGUCGCGGUGACCCCAAGCGUAGUAAAUUUUUUUUUUCUCGCUUUAGGUGUUAACGCUGGCUUUCUAGCCGUUAAACCCUCUAAAUUUUUAGUGGUUGACCUCGGAUCAGGUAGGACUACCCGCUGAACUUAAGCAUAUCAAUAAGCGGAGGA
Molecule: unclassified non-coding RNA, 354 nt
Filed under: soil metagenome
Description: partial contains 5.8S ribosomal RNA, internal transcribed spacer 2, and large subunit ribosomal RNA
Rfam family: 5.8S ribosomal RNA (bases 1-120)
Source: RNAcentral